RNAcentral lists this ribosomal RNA (252 nucleotides) under uncultured bacterium. RNAcentral describes it as "partial 16S ribosomal RNA". It matches the Rfam family "Bacterial small subunit ribosomal RNA", at positions 524 to 776 of the family's 1533-position model. The record is from RNAcentral.
UACAGAGGAUGCAAGCGUUAUCCGGAAUGAUUGGGCGUAAAGCGUCUGUAGGUGGCUUUUUAAGUCCGCCGUCAAAUCCCAGGGCUCAACUCUGGACAGGCGGUGGAACUACCAAGCUGGAGUACGGUAGGGCAGAGGGAAUUUCCGGUGGAGCGGUGAAAGUGCGUAGAGAUCGGAAAGAACACCAACGGCGAAAGCACUCUGCUGGGCCGACACUGACACUGAGAGACGAAAGCUAGGGGAGCGAAUGGG